This 231-nucleotide long non-coding RNA is filed under the name Physcomitrium patens. Its description in RNAcentral is "long non-coding RNA (PPAT_LNC014023)". Lineage: Eukaryota; Viridiplantae; Streptophyta; Bryopsida; Funariales; Funariaceae. The record is from RNAcentral.
AGUAGUAAUUAUAUAGGAGUUGUAGAAGUUUCUUAGGGUGCCAGACUGUAAUAGUCAUGAGCCGGGAUUAAGCUUGGUGCUACUUCUUUGUUUUCUUUGUUUUCUCUGUUGUUGAAGAGUAAUGGAUAGUUUUUGAAUACUGAGAAGUGAGUCUGUGGAAUAAACUAGAGAUUGAUUUAUGAGUUAUUGAUUAUAUAAUUGGAGUAUUAUGUGAUUGAAUUAUAUGAGAAG